Molecule: ribosomal RNA, 681 nt
Filed under: uncultured nitrite-oxidizing bacterium
Lineage: Bacteria
Description: bacterial SSU rRNA
Rfam family: Bacterial small subunit ribosomal RNA
Source: RNAcentral
GGCUCAGAAUGAACGCUGGCGGCGCGCCUAAUACAUGCAAGUCGAGCGAGAAGACGUAGCAAUACGUUUGUAAAGCGGCGAACGGGUGAGGAAUACAUGGGUAACCUACCCUAGAGUGGGGAAUAACUAGCCGAAAGGUUAGCUAAUACCGCGUACGCUUCUUGGACUUCGGUUCAGGGAGGAAAGCGCUACCGAGGGUAGCGCGCUCUUGGAUGGGCUCAUGUCCUAUCAGCUUGUUGGUGAGGUAAUGGCUCACCAAGGCUUCGACGGGUAGCUGGUCUGAGAGGACGAUCAGCCACACUGGCACUGCGACACGGGCCAGACUCCUACGGGAGGCAGCAGUAAGGAAUAUUGCGCAAUGGGCGAAAGUCUGACGCAGCGACGCCGCGUGGGGGAUGAAGGUCUUCGGAUUGUAAACCCCUUUCGGGAGGGAAGAUGGAGUGGGUAACCACUUGGACGGUACCUCCAGAAGCAGCCACGGCUAACUUCGUGCCAGCAGCCGCGGUAAUACGAAGGUGGCAGGCGUUAUUCGGAUUUACUGGGCGUACAGGGAGCGUAGGCGGUUGGGUAAGCCCUCCGUGAAAUCUCCGGGCCUAACCCGGAAAGUGCGGAGGGGACUGCUUGGCUAGAGGAUGGGAGAGGAGCGCGGAAUUCCCGGUGUAGCGGUGAAAUGCGUAGAGA